RNAcentral lists this long non-coding RNA (366 nucleotides) under Sorghum bicolor (sorghum). Its description in RNAcentral is "long non-coding RNA (SBIC_LNC011338)". The record is from RNAcentral. Lineage: Eukaryota; Viridiplantae; Streptophyta; Magnoliopsida; Poales; Poaceae.
UAGGCGAUAGGAGUGGAGUGUGUGGCAAGGAAUCGAACCGUUUCGCUACAGCCCGUCCGCAUCCGCACGCGCCGCUUACUCGUAUGCGGGUUUGUGCGGCGGCCCGUUUUGCACCGUGCUAUGCUUGCGGCGCCCGACGGCGCGCAGUUCUGCCCGCAAGCGCUUAACUCUUCAAGCAGACAUCAGCACCUAAGUUCCAACUUCCAAAUAGAAAAUUGGGCCAAUCGAGUACACAGCUUCAGGCAUACAAGCAAAAGCAAACGGGGAGGGAUCGAGGACUAUAAAAUAUGAUAAAUAUUUGGCAAAAGCUUCAGUACUCGCUGCUGACGAUCAAGGAGGGCUAUGUACUAACACAUGCAAGGGGAG